CUCAGCGACAUUUGUGCUGGAAACUAGAAUUAAUGCAUAACCCACUGGGUGUGAAUUUAUGAGAUUUUAUUCAACCUGGUUUUUGAAGCAUUUUUAAUGUGAUGAAUCAAGCCGGACAACAGUUUCUGCAGAGUGGUAACAACGACAUCCUUGCUACUAUGAGACGCCUGUCUCGUCGAUCCUGACAUCGACUGUCUGUUCGUGAGACCGGACUGUCUGGACUGGGGUGGCUGUGGCUCAGGAAGUAGAGAGGGUUUUCCACUAACCGGAAGGUCGAUCCCUGGCUCCACCAGUCUGCAUGUCAAAGUGUCCUAGGGCAAGAUA
Long non-coding RNA from Xiphias gladius (swordfish), 324 nucleotides. RefSeq lists it as uncharacterized. The record is from RefSeq and is a predicted model, not a curated record. The transcript has 3 exons. NCBI's taxonomy places the organism in Eukaryota, Metazoa, Chordata, Actinopteri, Istiophoriformes, Xiphiidae.